GGGAGACAUAAAGACAAUGUGAACUACCUGUGCUAGGAAUAAUUUCUGAUCAGGAACUUGGGCUUUCAUCUACCCUUUUCAAAGAGUAUUAUAUGAAAAAGGAAAAAGAAAAUCUAUUUCUUGAAUCUGAAAGAACGAUUUCAGCUUCUGGACUGCAUUUCUUGCUAUGACCAGCAGAGAUGAAAAAUAUCAAAAUACAAUUAAUAAGAACACCAUGUAUCAUGAGCAGAAAACCUGCGGAAAGAACAAAAGAACUGUCAAAUAUUCCAGAAUUGUAUGUAUAACAGAUGAAGAAUUGAAUUGAGCAAGAUAAUGUAAGGCGACAAGAAUUGCUCUUUUCUCCCUGCUCUUUAUUUUCCCUGUUCUGAACUGUCACUGAGUGAAUAAUUAGAAAAUGUUGAACUUCAUGGUAGCAAACAACAAUAAAAAGCAAUCAUUAAAGCA
Long non-coding RNA from Dromaius novaehollandiae (emu), 444 nucleotides. Lineage: Eukaryota; Metazoa; Chordata; Aves; Casuariiformes; Dromaiidae. The record is from Ensembl.